GUCCAUGUGGCUUAGUUGGGAAAACACCUGACUAAGGUGCGGUAGAACUCGGGUUCGAUCCCCGCUGAAGGCAUGGGUG
Non-coding RNA from Henosepilachna vigintioctopunctata, 79 nucleotides. NCBI's taxonomy places the organism in Eukaryota, Metazoa, Arthropoda, Insecta, Coleoptera, Coccinellidae. The record is from the annotation of a GenBank genome assembly.